Molecule: long non-coding RNA, 387 nt
Filed under: Manihot esculenta (cassava)
Lineage: Eukaryota; Viridiplantae; Streptophyta; Magnoliopsida; Malpighiales; Euphorbiaceae
Description: long non-coding RNA (MESC_LNC001360)
Source: RNAcentral
CUUCAUUAAAACAAUAAAAACAUUAAAAAAAAACAUUUUAGAAAACCUUUAUUUUACCCUUCUAGAAGGCUCCGACAUCCGAGAAUUCCGGAUUCUAACGGAGAUUCCGCCGGAAGGUAGGAAUUCCGAUGCCGGGGUCUAGCCGGGUAUUAUAGUACAUCUAGUUGUCUUUGAUUUGGUCCUUGCAUUUGAUGGAGUAGCUUCACCUUCUUCUUUUUACCUUGCUUUUCUGGACCUCCCAAGUAACCUUUUCAAAGGUGAUGGCAUAAUGCAUUGAGACUCAUCUUGUAUGCUGUAAUUGGCUUGUGGUAUUGGGUGAAUAAUCCAUGCAUAAACCUUCAAAUAUGUUGAAAUAUGAUAGUAAUAAUGACAAUAAUCCUCAAUAUC